UACGGAGGGUGCGAGCGUUAUCCGGAUUCACUGGGUUUAAAGGGCGCGUAGGCGGGAAUGUAAGUCAGUGGUGAAAUCUCUGGGCUUAACUCAGAAACUGCCAUUGAUACUAUGUUUCUUGAAUUUUCUGGAGGUCAGCGGAAUAUGUCAUGUAGCGGUGAAAUGCUUAGAUAUGACAUAGAACACCAAUUGCGAAGGCAGCUGGCUACAGGGAUAUUGACACUGAGGCACGAAAGCGUGGGGAUCAAACAGG
This 253-nucleotide ribosomal RNA is filed under the name uncultured bacterium. Its description in RNAcentral is "partial 16S ribosomal RNA". It matches the Rfam family "Bacterial small subunit ribosomal RNA", at positions 524 to 776 of the family's 1533-position model. The record is from RNAcentral.